Molecule: ribosomal RNA, 512 nt
Filed under: uncultured bacterium
Lineage: Bacteria
Description: partial 16S ribosomal RNA
Rfam family: Bacterial small subunit ribosomal RNA
Source: RNAcentral
GACGAACGCUGGCGGCGUGCCUAUUACAUGCAAGUCGAGCGAAUUUACGAGAGCUUGCUCUCGUAAAUUAGCGGCGGACGGGUGAGUAACACGUGGGCAACCUGCCUAUAAGACUGGGAUAACUUCGGGAAACCGGAGCUAAUACCGGAUAAUUCUCAUCUACUCAUGUGGAUGUGCUGAAAGACGGUUUCGGCUGUCACUUAUAGAUGGGCCCGCGGCGCAUUAGCUAGUUGGUGAGGUAACGGCUCACCAAGGCCACGAUGCGUAGCCGACCUGAGAGGGUGAUCGGCCACACGGGGACUGAGACACGGCCCAGACUCCUACGGGAGGCAGCAGUAGGGAAUCUUCCGCAAUGGACGAAAGUCUGACGGAGCAACGCCGCGUGAGUGAUGAAGGUUUUCGGAUCGUAAAACUCUGUUGUUAGGGAAGAACAAGUACCAGAGUAACUGCUGGUACCUUGACGGUACCUAACCAGAAAGCCACGGCUAACUACGUGCCAGCAGCCGCCGCCG